This 433-nucleotide ribosomal RNA is filed under the name uncultured bacterium. RNAcentral describes it as "partial 16S ribosomal RNA". It matches the Rfam family "Bacterial small subunit ribosomal RNA", at positions 29 to 507 of the family's 1533-position model. The record is from RNAcentral.
AACGAACGCUGGCGGCAUGCCUAACACAUGCAAGUCGAACGAGACCUUCGGGUCUAGUGGCGCACGGGUGCGUAACGCGUGGGAACCUGCCCUUAGGUUCGGAAUAACUCCCCGAAAGGGGUGCUAAUACCGGAUAAUGUCUUCGGACCAAAGAUUUAUCGCCUUUGGAUGGGCCCGCGUUGGAUUAGCUAGUUGGUAGGGUAAAAGCCUACCAAGGCGACGAUCCAUAGCUGGUCUGAGAGGAUGAUCAGCCACACUGGGACUGAGACACGGCCCAGACUCCUACGGGAGGCAGCAGUGGGGAAUAUUGGAAAAUGGGCGAAAGCCUGAUCCAGCAAUGCCGCGUGAGUGAUGAAGGCCUUAGGGUUGUAAAGCUCUUUUACCCGGGAUGAUAAUGACAGUACCGGGAGAAUAAGCCCCGGCUAACUCCGUG